RNAcentral lists this transfer RNA (73 nucleotides) under Mustela putorius furo (domestic ferret). It matches the Rfam family "tRNA". From Rfam's summary of the family: Transfer RNA (tRNA) molecules are approximately 80 nucleotides in length. Their secondary structure includes four short double-helical elements and three loops (D, anti-codon, and T loops). The record is from Rfam by way of RNAcentral. Lineage: Eukaryota; Metazoa; Chordata; Mammalia; Carnivora; Mustelidae.
GCCUGGCUGGCUCGGAUAGUAGAGCAUGUGACUCUUUAUCUCAUAGUCAUGAGUUCAAGCCUCACGCUGGGCA